This 5271-nucleotide long non-coding RNA is filed under the name Astyanax mexicanus (Mexican tetra). RNAcentral's name for it is "lncRNA (ENSAMXG00005015766.1)". The record is from RNAcentral. Lineage: Eukaryota; Metazoa; Chordata; Actinopteri; Characiformes; Acestrorhamphidae.
AUGUCAGAGAAGACUAUUGCAAAUGACAUUUUAAAAUAUGGGACUCAAUCAGUUUUGAAAUCCAACGAUCCUCAAUCACAAAUAAGAAAAGAAGAUGAGGAAGUGGAUAGCCCAGUACUGGCCGAUGACGCCUUUGACGACUCUUCAAGUUCCUACUGCACUGCCCUUUGUUCUCUUAGUGACUACAGUGAAGCUUUGGAGGAUGAGGAAUGCAUGAUCUGUGCUGAGCCUCAGUGUGUGGAUGCUUCAUCUCUAGCCACUUUCUUUGCUGAUCCUUCAGGAGGAACAUCUUCAACCACUUGGCCUGAGACUGCUGUCCCACUGAAAGAGCUAAAAACUGAGGAAGCUGAAGAUACCAGAGCUAAGAUACCGAAACCUUUUCUAUCAAGUCCUAGCAUUGUACAUUUGAAUUCCAUAAAUACCAAUUCUGCAGAUGUGGAGCAAUACAAUGCUAAACUACUAAAAGAGCUUAAACAAGAGGAAGAUGAAGAUAUGGGAACUUCAGAGGACAUUCUAGGGGAAAAAUCCGCAUACAUAAGGGAUUUUCCAUCAAGUCCCAAUGUUAUAAAUUUGACUUCUGUAAAUAUAAAUUUUGCCGUUUUGGAGCAAUACAAUGAAGUCCCAUUAAAGGAGUUUAGACAAGGGGAAGAGAAAGGUGAAGACAUAGGGACUCCAUUGGAAGUUCAAGGUGAAGAAUCCCUAUACAUCUGGGAUGAAAUCUCUUUAUCUGCCAGAGAUCCACUCUUGUUACAAUCAAAAUCUUUUCUGUCAAGUCCUAACUCUGUGGAGCAAAACAAUACUGUCCAAUUAAACGAGCUUACACCAGAGGAAGAGAAAGAGGAAGAUAUAGGAACUGCACAGGACAUUCUAAGUGACGAAUCCCUAUACAUAUGGGAUAAAGUCUCUUCAUCUGCCAGAGAUCCACUCUUGUUGCAAUCAACAUCUUUUCUGUCAAGUCCUAACUCUAUAAAUUUGCCUUCCGGAAAUACAAAUUCUGCAGAUUCAGAGCAAUACAAUGCUUUCCCAUUAAAGGAGCUUAAACCAGAGGAAGAGAAAGAGGAAGAUAUAGGAAAUGCACAGGACAUUCUAAGUGAAGAAUUCCAAAAUAUACGGGAUAACAUCUCUACAUUUGCCAGAGAUCCACUCUUGCUACAGUCAAAACCUUUUCCAUCAAGUCCUAACAUUAUAAACUGGAAAUUUGCAAAUGCCUUUGCUGCAGAUGUGAAGCAAUACAAUGCUAUCCCACUAAAAGACCUUGAACCAGAGGAAAAUGAAGAUAUAGCUUCACAGGACACUCUAAGUAAAGAAUCCCUAUCCAUACAGGAUGAAGUCUCUACAUCUGCCAAAAAUCCACUCUUGUUACAUUCAAAACAUUUUCGAUCAAAUCUUAAUGUUAUAAAUGUGAAUUCUGCAGAAGUGGAGCAAUACAAUGCUGUCCCUCUAAAGGAGCUUAAAGCAGGGGAAGAAGAAGAUGAAGAUACAGGAACUUCACAGCACAUUCUAGAUGAAAAAUCGCUAUAUGUACCUUUUCCAAGAAUUUCCAACAAAAUAGAUUUGAAUUCUGUGAAUACCAAUUCUGCAGAUUCUGACCAAUCCAGUGCUGACCUACUAAGACUAAAAAGGAAAGAGUCUUUAUUGAAACCAUGGGAUUAUUUCAGAAGCAGCAUAACUAAUGUCAAUACCCAACAAAGCAGGUUUACAGCAGGCAUUACUGACGAAUAUCCAUUUAAACCUGACAGAAUCUCUUUACCUGGCAAAUAUUUAAACGUAUUAGAAACUAAAUCUUCAUCCUCAAAUCCCAAAAGAAAUCUCCAAAGUCUAAAUAUAAUAAACUCUGUAGAUACUGGAACAAAGACUGCUCAACCAGUUGACUCAUUCUGCACAAAUCCUUUGCUAAACUCCUGUGAUUAUUUCAACAACAGCAAGACUACCACCCCAACAAAUACCACUCUUGUUGAGCAAUCUGAGUGCCUGGAACCCACAUUUAUCUCCAACACUAUUUUAACCACAAGCAAAGUAAAUCAAUACAACCAGGAAGUGGGGCAACAACAAAGUGGCACUAAGUCAAAAGCAGACCCUUUAACACAUCAGCAAAGCUUGAGAGAUGGUCCCAAUAAACUCGGUCCUGAGGACAAGCUUGACAGAGGCGGGUCUAUGGCUGGUCAUAGAAAUUGGGAGGGGGAGGAGCAGGGUAGAAGGGUCGAAAAGGAGCAGGCAGAGCUGUCACUCAAGGCUAGAAAUAGAAAACCGCCUGCAUGCUGCAUCUCAACACUCACAGCCAACAAGCAGAAGUCAGGAAUCCCGCCACGCUGUUAUUCAGAGCGUAUCCUCGCAACCGGGCACCAACACCCACCACGGAGCCCUCCUGUUUCUUGGAGGUGGCAAAAGCAGAGCCGUCAAGGCGUCUUGCUGUCGAGUUCGCUUCCACCGAAACCCUGCAGCACCGCCAGGCAGCAUUGCAGUGCUGCAGACAAUACCAAAGACGCGUUCAACAUGGCAACAAAGCUUGUAAAGACAAACACUGAAGUGAGAAGCCUGGACACUCUGGAUCAUGCAAGAUCCUCUUGUCCUGAAGCUAACUACUUGGAUGUUUUCAGCUCUAGCCGCUGGUCCUCAAAUCAGCUGUCUCCGGAUGAAGGCUUCCAUGAUUUGUCAACGGAUGUUCUUUCCAUCAAGUUGCCGAUGAUUUCAACAAAGUCCCACAACACUUCAGCCUGCUCAGAGGCUAGCAGUGUUGAGUGCAUUGAUGUGGCCUUGGAGAGUCGAGAAGAGGUGAAUAGAGGGGCAAAGACUGUACCUAAGAGACAGAUUCAACUGAAAAGACGAGACGCUGCAGAUUCUCAAACAAAUGAAAACAUCAGCAAUGAUGGCCUCCUUAUCCCAGCUACAUCCAGCCGUCCUCGAGACAUCCUUCAGCGUCAGCACAGUACCCCAGCAGCAUUUCACCAGGACUCACAUGGAUCGGAACUGAAGUUGGCCCAAACUGAGCGAAAGCAGAGACUCCAGAAGUCCCUUUCCCUGGAUGAAACAUCCAGCAAAACCAAAAAGGCUUCCUGCCUCAUUAAGACCAUACUUUCAAAGAAGAUGCAAGAAGAAGAGAAUCUUCGUACGGAUGAAGUUUCUAACCGAGCCUUUGCUCCUAUCAAAGCCUACAACUCUGCCAGCAACAGUGAACACUUAACUGCUUCUACUAAGGAGGUGUGCGUUGAAACUACAACUAAAGUGAACCUAACUACAGGUCCUUUUUUAAGUUAUAGCUCUUCUUCACAAAGUACUGUUAAAGAACAUAUCAGCGUAAGCUCAAAAAUACAACCUAAGAUGAUGACAAAACACAGCUUUAAUCCUCUAUUCAGUGCCAGGUCUGAAUUUCCAGACAUUGGUACUGAAAUAACCACCUUUCCAGAGAAGAGUGAGAAAGAGAACUUGAGUUCCAGUAAGGAGGGAGCAUGGAUCGCUAGCCAGAGCUCAGGAGAGAAGCUUUCCUGUGACUCAGCAAAAGGCAAGGUAUGGAACUCGAGUGCAGGCAUGGGCAAACAGGCCACGAUGAAAACCACACCUGAGGAAUGCUUCGCAGUGCAGAGAGGCCAUAAACAACACAAUGUCAAAACUGACCUUAUUACCAGCAUGGUGAAACAAGUGAAACAAGGUGAGAGCAAAGAAAGUACACAGUGUCUCACAAUGGCUGGCUGUUUGGCUUAUGAUCAGGAUGUGAGAACACUGGGCAACAUUCUGUCUCCGUCUGGUCAGUGCAGCCCUGAAAAAGAGCCGGAGCAUGACAGGGAAGAUCCCAGGCCACCUGGACAGUCAGUAAACAUGGGUAUUCAAAGCCAGGGGAAAUUUAAAGCCAUCGCCCCUGUGCAUGUGGUGAGGGAUAUGCGGAGUCUGGUGAAAAACACAUACAGCCUGUCAUUCAGGGGUCCUGGUGAAGCAGCACAGGGGACAGAGAACAGUAUGCCUGGAUUUUCAGCUGCAUCACCUCAUCAAAUUAGCAGUAAGGGGGAGGACAGGCGAAAGGGAUUCAAGCAGGAUGAAAAAGCACAAGUGCGGAAAGUGACUCCCCCACUUGCAUUGGACAGGAUCAGGGAUUUGGCCUCUCUUCAUAAGACUCCCAAAGGAUGUGCAACUAAACCUACAGCUCCCCUCGAAUCACAUGACAAAUCUCCUACUGCUGCAUUCACAAAGGUCAGCCCAAUUAUUGCAGCCAAGGCAAACAGUUGUGCCUUGUCUAAAUCCCCUGAGGCGCAGUGCAUUCGGAAAUCCAUCAGCCAAGCUGAUGUCCAAGGUAACAUCACAAACUUGAAACAAACAAACCUGGCAGGCAUGCAGGCACUGCAGAGUAACAACAAGACCUCAACUGAGAUUUCCAAAAACAGGCAGUCUGAGAACUCCAGCAAGCUGGAAUAUAAGAAACAGCAGGACUCUGUGGAGCAGAGGCAGCAUCUGGCUCAGCACUACUGUCCACCUACACUGAGUUCAAGUUCUGAGGAGCUGGAGAGCUGUAAGCCAUCAGAUCAAAUAUUCUCUACGGUCAAAGAUGAUCGCCAGACCCCAGGCCCACCUCCCAGACCACAGAGCACGGCUGGGCCAGCCCCUGCCUGCAUCCUAACUGUUGCUCCAACACCAGUACUCCCACAAUACUUCUACAAAGCCAAUCCGUUGGGCUACCAGACAGUUUCCCCCCAUAUGGGAACAGUUAGCUAUGUUCAAGGCCCUGUCAUGCUGCAAACACCACCUAUCAACCAGCCUGCUGCUGCAAACUGUCCUAUCCCUUUGAUGAGAUCGCUAUCUGAGGAAGUAAGAUUACUAUCUCAGCCAUUCCCAACAGAUGGAAGCUCAGUACAGCAAAGAUCAAGCAUGCAACAAACAGAGAAUGGGGAAAUCAGACUGAAGAUGGCCACUCCGGAUACUCAGCAAUGCACAGCUUUCGUAGCAACCUUGGGUGCCGAGGUCAUGCAAGGGAGCACCAGUAUGCUGUAUCAGGAAAUGGGUGGAGGCCUGGCACAGAGUCCUCGGCAACUGCUGUUGGACCCCGAAACUGGCCGCUGCUUCUAUGUGGACAUGCCUCAGCUGCCACAGCGCAAAAUGUUGUUUGACCCACAGACCUGCCAGUAUGUCGAGGUCCUACUGCCACAGCAAACAAUUCCCAGCCCAGUUAUGCCUUCCCCGUGUGCUAUACCCGUGCCUUCCCUUCACAUCCCUGCCAUUUACACUCCACACUGCCUGCCUUAUGUCCAGGCACACCCUCAGCUGCUGCCACCACCAGGACCUUGA